This 253-nucleotide ribosomal RNA is filed under the name uncultured bacterium. RNAcentral's name for it is "partial 16S ribosomal RNA". It matches the Rfam family "Bacterial small subunit ribosomal RNA", at positions 524 to 776 of the family's 1533-position model. The record is from RNAcentral.
UACGAAGGUCCCAAGCGUUGUUCGGAAUCACUGGGCGUAAAGGGAGCGUAGGCGGUUGGGUAAGUCAGAUGUGAAAUCCCGGGGCUCAACCCCGGAACUGCAUCCGAUACUGCCUGACUUGAGUAAUGGAGGGGUAGCUGGAAUUCUCGGUGUAGCAGUGAAAUGCGUGGAUAUCGAGAGGAACACUCGUGGCGAAGGCGAGCUACUGGACAUUUACUGACGCUGAGGCUCGAAGGCUAGGGGAGCAAAAGGG